RNAcentral lists this ribosomal RNA (522 nucleotides) under Balcanocerus sp. AX06. RNAcentral's name for it is "partial large subunit ribosomal RNA". The stretch from base 389 to 522 matches the Rfam family "Archaeal large subunit ribosomal RNA", at positions 2542 to 2676 of the family's 2987-position model. The record is from RNAcentral. Lineage: Eukaryota; Metazoa; Arthropoda; Insecta; Hemiptera; Cicadellidae.
ACAUUUCUUUAAGCAUUUUAUUUAAAGUAUGCCCUGCCCUAUGAUUUAUAUUUUAAAUGGCUGCAGUAUUUUGACUGUGCAAAGGUAGCAUAAUAAUUAGUUUCUUAAUUAGGGGCUGGUAUGAAUGGGUUAAUGAGAAAUUUAUUUUAUUAUUAUUAUUAUUAUAAUUUAAUUUUUAAGUUAAAAAGCUAAAAUAUAUUACUGGGACGAUAAGACCCUAUAGAACUUUAAUUUUUUUUAUUAAUUUUUAUUAUAGAUUUAAUUUAUAUUUAUUUUAAUCAAUUUUUGCUGGGGUGGCGGAUAAAUGUUAACUUUAUCUUUUUUAUUCAUUGAUUUAUGAUUUUUUUUUGAUCCGAAUAAAUCGAGUAUAAGAUAAAGUUACCUUAGGGAUAACAGCGUAAUUUUGAUGGAAAGUUCAUAUUUAUAUUAAAGUUUGCGACCUCGAUGUUGAAUUAGAAUAAAAUUAAGGGGUAGUUUCUUUAAGGUUAGGUCUGUUCGACCUUUAAAUUUCUACAUGAUCUG